GACGAACGCUGGCGGCGUGCCUAAUACAUGCAAGUAGAACGCUGAAGGAGGAGCUUGCUUCUCCGGAUGAGUUGCGAACGGGUGAGUAACGCGUAGGUAACCUGCCUGGUAGCGGGGGAUAACUAUUGGAAACGAUAGCUAAUACCGCAUAAGAGUAGAUGUCGCAUGACAUUUGCUUAAAAGGUGCAACUGCACCACUACCAGAUGGACCUGCGUUGUAUUAGCUAGUUGGUGAGGUAACGGCUCACCAAGGCAACGAUACAUAGCCGACCUGAGAGGGUGAUCGGCCACACUGGGACUGAGACACGGCCCAGACUCCUACGGGAGGCAGCAGUAGGGAAUCUUCGGCAAUGGACGGAAGUCUGACCGAGCAACGCCGCGUGAGUGAAGAAGGUUUUCGGAUCGUAAAGCUCUGUUGUAAGAGAAGAACGAGUGUGAGUGUGGAAAGUUCACACUGUGACGGUAUCUUACCAGAAAGGGACGGCUAACUACGUG
This 495-nucleotide ribosomal RNA is filed under the name uncultured bacterium. RNAcentral's name for it is "partial 16S ribosomal RNA". It matches the Rfam family "Bacterial small subunit ribosomal RNA", at positions 28 to 507 of the family's 1533-position model. The record is from RNAcentral.